GCCAGCGACACAGUGGUCCGUUCUGUGAAGAGGGUUUAAUGGCAGAGCUCUUCUCUGGAGAAGCAUUUUAACAUGAUGAACGAAGAAACUAGUCAAAAAACUGAUGGAGGGGAAAGAUAUAAUGGGGCCAACAUGAGAAAGAAGAGACCCAAAAAGGUAACGCAUCUGGAAAGGAGAGCACAUCUGCACAGUGUUUAAAGCAUGCUUCUUAAGGUCUGGACGGCUAGGAUGAAGGCAGAGUGGUUUCUUAGGCG
Pelobates cultripes (western spadefoot toad) is the source of this 254-nucleotide non-coding RNA. The record is from the annotation of a GenBank genome assembly. NCBI's taxonomy places the organism in Eukaryota, Metazoa, Chordata, Amphibia, Anura, Pelobatidae.